Aegilops tauschii subsp. strangulata is the source of this 1858-nucleotide long non-coding RNA. RefSeq lists it as uncharacterized. NCBI's taxonomy places the organism in Eukaryota, Viridiplantae, Streptophyta, Magnoliopsida, Poales, Poaceae. The record is from RefSeq and is a predicted model, not a curated record.
UUCGCCCUCUUCGUCUGCUUCUUUCUGGCUGCAACCCCAGCCAUUCCCUCUCCCGCACAUCUCUCUCUCUCUCUCUCUCUCUCUCGCCGCCGCCGCCGUCGCCGCCCAUCCUCCCAGUCCCGCCUCUUCUCCUCCCCAUCAGCCCCCUCGUCUCUGCCGGUGGCGCCGCUGCUUCCCCGUCCCGCAGCUGCUUGGCCCUUGCAUCUCAAUCUCUCGAGCGCCGUCACCGAGAAAGACCCCUCGGCAGCCAACUACGGCAACGUCCUCUCCGGAGAGAUCCUCCCCGCGACGGUCCCGACGAACCAUGGGCAGAGAUCGGCCACCUCGACAGGGCCGCCAUCGACCGCUCUACUGGUCCGGCUGGCGCUCUUCCUUUGCAGGUUGGCGAGGAGGACCGGUAGAUCGAGUCGGAGCUCUGCCGGCUCUAGCUCCACUCCAUCGAGGUUCAGGUUGCGGCCCCUCGUGGGCAUGAGGAGUGACGGAGCCAUCAAGAGCGGCAGCGAUGAGCUGAUGCGGACGUGGCUGCAGCCUCCUCGCGAGAUCUCGACCAUGGUCCUCUGUCGUCAUGGAGCCGGACGAGCUCACCUUCCAGCUCGUGUCAAGACCCGAAACAACAAGCCCAGUUCGCUUCUACACCUCCAAGGUCAUGAGCCAGCCUACCACCUCUACUGCUGCAAGUUUGUGUUAAUUUUUAUUUGUUUGUUUCUUCUUUUGGUGAAGCAGGUGAACUGAUUCUGGCAUUUUUUGUUGCCUUCCCCGUGCGUGCAUGGUCGAAGGCUGGUGGCCCAGCUCGCCGGAUUGGUCAAGGUCUCACGUGGGAUUUCCUUGCAGUUCAGAGUAUUUAAAGAAAACUACCACAAUUCGUGAAACCGUGCCUACAAACUAUCACUUUACAAAUUUAUGCCGAAAACUACCAUUUUCUCACUAAUCCUUAACUAAAAACUAUCAAGUCUGAAAAGAACCCGAUUCGACUCAUUUAAACGCGUUUGUGAGUAGUUGGGCCCACACAUAAGCGGGCUAAAAAAGCAAUCGAGUCCCUGAUAGUUUUUCAAAUAGCAUAAGCGGGCAUGCAGCAGCGGCGGCCGCAAGUAGCAGUGACAGCGAGUGGCGGCAUGCAUCGACGGUGGCUUAGCUCGGGCUGCGUCCGUGAGCUAACUAGCUCCGGCUAGCCGCGGUACGCACGGGAGCUAGCUAGCUCUGGCUGUGUCCGUCCGUGGUGCGUGGAAGCUAGCUAGCUCCGCCCGCCCAAGGAGCAGCAGCGGAGGCAACAGUCGUCGUCUGCCUGAGAGCACCAGCAGCAAAGGAGCAAAGCGCGGCCAGCGGAGGAGCGGACACCAGCAGCGGCUGGCGCUAGAGCGCGGGCCUCGAGGCGCUGCUCGACGAGGGCAACCAUGUCCACCACGGAGAGCGCCAUGAACGAGCUCGGAUGCGUGCUAUGGCCGCCGCCAAACACGGUCGGCGUAAAGGGACUCGAUUGCUUUUUUUUCAAAAUUAACAGGGAUCCGAUUGCUUUUUGGCGAAACUUACGAGGACUGGAUUGCCUUUUUUAAGGAGAUAUAGGAGGAGCAAGAAGAUAGACACUGACGUGUGGGCCAACUCUGUUAAACAAGUCGAAUCGGGCUCUUUUCAGACUUGGAAGUUUUUAGUCAAGGAUUAGUGAGAAAAUUGUAGUUUUCGGCACAAAUUUGUAAAGUGAAGUUUGUAGGCACAGUUUCACGAAUUGUGGUAGUUUUUUGUUAAAUACUCUGCAGAUCAUCAUUGCCAUUGUCUGCAUCCUUCACACUUUUGGUUGGUGUGGUUACUUAGUGCCUUCUAAAUCUCCGUCGUAACCACAGUCGAUCGCCCGCACCGUUCCGUC